AUUGAACGCUGGCGGCAGGCUUAACACAUGCAAGUCGAGCGGGGUGAUGGUGCUUGCACUAUCACUUAGCGGCGGACGGGUGAGUAAUGCUUAGGAAUCUGCCUAUUAGUGGGGGACAGCAUCUCGAAAGGGAUGCUAAUACCGCAUACGUCCUACGGGAGAAAGCAGGGGAUCACUUGUGACCUUGCGCUAAUAGAUGAGCCUAAGUCGGAUUAGCUAGUUGGUGGGGUAAAGGCCUACCAAGGCGACGAUCUGUAGCGGGUCUGAGAGGAUGAUCCGCCACACUGGGACUGGGACACGGCCCAGACUCCUACGGGAGGCAGCAGUGGGGAAUAUUGGACAAUGGGGGGAACCCUGAUCCAGCCAUGCCGCGUGUGUGAAGAAGGCCUUAUGGUUAUAUAGCACUUUAAGCGAGGAGGAGGCUCUUUUGGUUAAUACCCAAGAUGAGUGGACGUUACUCGCAGAAUAAGCACCGGCUAACUCUGUGCCAGCCGCCGCUGUAA
Molecule: ribosomal RNA, 503 nt
Filed under: uncultured bacterium
Lineage: Bacteria
Description: partial 16S ribosomal RNA
Rfam family: Bacterial small subunit ribosomal RNA
Source: RNAcentral